RNAcentral lists this unclassified non-coding RNA (1898 nucleotides) under Pocillopora damicornis (cauliflower coral). RNAcentral describes it as "uncharacterized LOC113675489, transcript variant X4". The record is from RNAcentral. Lineage: Eukaryota; Metazoa; Cnidaria; Anthozoa; Scleractinia; Pocilloporidae.
AUUUAAGCUUUAUGUGAGAGCGAGAUUGACACAAGUUGAAUCUUUAAAUCACUCCAUUCUCCCCAAGAGGUUGUGGAAGCCUUAGUUCAUGAAUAGUCUUGGGUUUUUACACGAAGGACGACUGCACAGGCUCGAAAAGUUAUAUAAAUGUGAAAAGACCUUGAUUUUAUUGUACUUAAAUGAAAUUCAUUUACGUUGAAUGUGCUUUGUCACGUUGUUCGCGUUUUUAUAACAGAUUCCCAACCUCCAAAUGAAGAAUAUCUCUGUUAUUGAUUUUCACGGUAUUUUGUCUAUGAAUACAAUUUUAUCUUGUAUUUUGUGCGAAGUUAUUUGAAAACUCAGCUCUUCGAAUUUUUAAUUAUCUAUCUAUCUCUUUGAAAACUACUUACCUUUGCCAUAAGAGUACUUCUACUCAAUUUACAUGCAUCUAUUUGAUUGAAUUAACUCCUUAAAUCCAUUUAAAAUUUCACUAGGACAAUUCUCUGGUGGACAUCUAGAGCUGCGGCUCAACAAGUUAUACGAUGGUGUCGAAACUCUUGUUUUAUUCAUUGGCCACGCUCGUAGUGGUCAUAGUCUCAUCGGAGCCAUUUUGGAUGCUCACCCAGAGAUUAUCAUUCCUCACGAAUAUAAUUUGAUAGUAAAGUGGAGUGAAUUCAAACUGAAAAGCGGCAGUGGGCUAAAGACCCGUGUCCUUUUUGCCCUGCACGCCUUGUCACGAUUUCAAGCAAUGUUUGGAAACCGUGCAGCAUCACGCCGUAGCGGUGGUGGGUAUAGUUACUCUGUACCUGGACAGUGGCAGGGAACGUAUAAAGAAAGAGUAAAGAAACCCGUUUGACAAUAUUGCCACUAAAUUGCUGAGAAAUCUCGAGGUCAGGGACAUGGCUAAAAGCAGCACAUUUAAAGUAAGUUUCUUGUAACUUUCGAAAAACUCAUAGUUAAUUAGUUUUGUCCGGUAGUCUUAGAUCCCAUUCACACCAAAACUUAAACAUGUAUUAAAGCUUUUUAGUUGAAGUCUGUUAUAUUUUUUUCUUAUUCGUAUAGGCUGCAUAAAGCGACGCUUGUUGACUUCAAAGUGACACAUUGAAAAUACAAGUAAACGAUUAUUUGAAUUUUAUGGAACAUUCUGUGAAACUAAACUUUUUUUGCUGGGGUGAAUGUGAUUUAGACUUCUUGUAUCUUCUUUCUAAAAAUUAUUGCACCUUCGAAGGGGUGAGACUAUCUGUCAUAUACAGUUUACAUGUAUUUCAAGACCUUUAACCUUUCCUCUUUUGAAAAUUACGGGAAAUAUGCCAAUUUUGUCAGUGCAACUGUAAUUAAGUAGUAUUAAAAUUUGUUUUGAAAAAAUGUCUUGCUUGUUUUGUUUCGCAGGCAAGCAAUGUAACCUUGUUGGAUAAAAUUAUCGACGACUUUUUCGCCAAAGUAAAGUCCGCUGAGAGACUGAAACGAUAUGGGAAGUUCGAAGUACUAGAUGUCUACGGUCAUGAAGUUAUUUCCAAACCCCGUGAAAGUCUGCAAAACCUAUGCAACUUUCUAAAAGUAGCCUGUUAUCCAGACUUUGUCGAAUCUGCCUCAGAACUACUGUACGCUAAGCCGUCGUUGACGAGACAUGCGGUCGCGUGGACUUCAAAACAGAAGGAAAGAAUUAUGAACGAGAUGAACAAGUACUCUUUUCUGGAGCGUUUUUCUUUUGAUAGUGAUUCUAAAUAAUUAUAAAUUUUCUUUUAAUGGAUGAGUGUUGAUGAAGCUUAAAGCGUUCAUACUCUGUAUAGAAGAGAACAGUACUCUUUGCAAAAAAUUUCAUCUUGGACUCAAACGAGCAACAUCAGACCGUGUUUGAGAUAAGCAUCAAAGUCUUCUGGUGACACUAAUUAAAAAGCUUUAUUUCUGGAUUUCCUUCA